CGGCCCGGCUCCCCGCCCUCGCCCUCUUCCCUUUCUUUCCCCGCGCCUUUGUCUCCGCCUCCCAACCCCCUUUGUGUCUCUGGGAAGACUCAGCCUCAGACAGCAGCGACCCCACCCGGCCGGCUGUCGGGGACCCCACAGACCCCGAGACGCACGUCUGGGGCAGAAGUUAGUGGCAGUGAGGACGCCACCCUCACACUUGGCAUCUUUCCUGCUCCCUUUUCCUUCCCCCAGCGCUCCCCCUUCCUCUUCAUCUCCUUCUCCAAGAAGGAGGACCUGCUGCUGACAUUAUCACGUUGGCCUAAAGUAGUUCUCUCCCCUUUCUGAAUGCGUAUUUGUGGUCACUUUUAUGAUUACAAAACCAAAACCUGUCCACCCGCUCAGGCUGCUAAGAAAAGGCUCUUCAGCAGGUGCGGCAGCACUGUAGGCUCCAUGACUGGAGCCCAACACGGAGCUUGAACUUACUACCCGGAGAUCAAGACUUGAGCUGAGAUCAAGAGUUGGAUGCUUAACUGACUGAGCCACCCAGCUGUGCUCUCAGGAGCAGGUGGCCUUCCAGGAGACUCCAGCAGGGCAAAAGAGACAGACAUGGAGGCAGCUGGCUGGCUUGGACUGCUUCGUCCUUGGAAAGACCCACAGAAUUUUCCCCACACUCCAUAGGCUGGAACUAGUCACAUGGCCCCACAACAGCGAGGGAGACUGGGAUACAGAGUGGAGCAUGUGGAUAUUUGAUUUUAUUUAUUUAUUUGAGAGAGAGAGCAUAAGAGGGGAGAAGGUCAGAGGGAGAAGCAGACUUCCUGUGGAGCUGGGAGCCUGAUGCGGGACUCGAUCCCUGGACUCCGGGAUCAUGACUCAAGCUGAAGACAGUUGCCUAACCAACUGAGCCCCCCCAAGCACUCUGAAUGUACUGUUUUUGUUUGGCUUCUUUUGCUCAGCAUACUUAUUUUGAGACUUGCCUGUGUUGAGCACAUCAACAAUUCAUUGGUCUUUCUUGCUGGGUAGUAUUCCAUUCCAAUGAAUGCAGCAUAUUUCUGUAUUACACAUACAGAUGUGAGAUGGACAGUUGUGUCUAAGACUCCAUGCAGACUUCAGGGUUCAUUUUCCUUCAGGGUUCAUAUUUCCUAGGUAGGAAAUAUCUAGAAGGGCAAUGGUUGAAUCUUAUGGUGUGUAUGGUGGGGGAAUGUUUAACUUUUUAAGAAACUGCUGAACUGUUUGCUUGAAUGGUAUUUAGCUUAAAAUGAUGCAAGUGAAUUUGAAUUGGUUUUAAUUGCCCUUAGAUUAGGAGUAUAAGUUCAUAGGAUGGUGAAGCCAGAAGGAACUGAUAUCACAGUCCAGUUCUUGGAUUUACUGUAGAAGAAAGAGUGAUCCAGAAAAGUUAAAUGCCUUUCCUGAGCUCUUGUUGCUCACUAGUUGUUGCUAGUUGUUUCUAGUCUCUUUACUCUUCCAUAAGAUCCUGCAAUCUGGGGGGAAGUCUACUAAGUCAUGUUGCCACUUCCCUGCAUAGUCUUACAUUUGGCUGCCAAGGACAUGGCUGUCCUUCAGAACAGGCCUAGCUCUGCAUGUGUUACAUAACUUUGGCCAUGAAACAUCUUUUGAAAUUCUGGGGCUUUUUCCGGACAGGGAGUAAAGAGCAUCACAAGGAUAAUGAGCCUGUCUUCUAUGGGACAUCACAUGUGACCACUCACAAUAUUCACAGCAGCUCAGCAUCAGGUCAGAUAAAAUGUGCUAUCGUCAUUAAUAUUUGGUUCCUGGAGGAGAUUCACCUCGUUUCUGAACACACUGAUGCACCCGAAGAAUUAAGACUGCAGAGUGCUCCAUUAGAAGUGAAGAAAACAGUAUGCCAAUUACCCAGCUUCUUUAGCUUACCUUUCCGGCUCCCGCCUCUUAUUAUCAUAUUCAUAAGCGUUGCCCCUAAUCAGUCUUCUUGAGUAAAGUUAACAAGUGUA
Mustela lutreola (European mink) is the source of this 1946-nucleotide long non-coding RNA. RefSeq lists it as uncharacterized. The record is from RefSeq and is a predicted model, not a curated record. The transcript has 4 exons. Lineage: Eukaryota; Metazoa; Chordata; Mammalia; Carnivora; Mustelidae.